CCUACGGGAGGCAGCAGUGGGGAAUAUUGGGCAAUGGGCGAAAGCCUGACCCAGCGACGCCGCGUGAGGGACGAAGGCCUUCGGGUUGUAAACCUCUUUCAGCAGGGAAGAAGCGAAAGUGACGGUACCUGCAGAAGAAGCACCGGCUAACUACGUGCCAGCAGCCGCGGUAAUACGUAGGGUGCAAGCGUUGUCCGGAAUUAUUGGGCGUAAAGAGCUCGUAGGUGGUUUGCCACGUCGGAUGUGAAAACCUGAGGCUUAACCUCAGGCCUGCAUUCGAUACGGGCAGACUAGAGUGUGGUAGGGGAGACUGGAAUUCCUGGUGUAGCGGUGAAAUGCGCAGAUAUCAGGAGGAACACCGGUGGCGAAGGCGGGUCUCUGGGCCAUAACUGACACUGAGGAGCGAAAGCGUGGGGAGCAAACAGGAUUAGAUACCCUGGUAGUCCACGCCGUAAACGGUGGGCACUAGAUGUGGGGACCUUCCACGGUCUCUGCGUCGCNGCUACGCAUAGUGCCCGCCGUCGGGAGGUACGGCCGGCGACGGACGUAAACCGUACGAAAGGAAGUUAAGUACGGCGUUGAGACGUUGCCGAACGGCGACGACGAGGGAGGAGG
RNAcentral lists this ribosomal RNA (615 nucleotides) under uncultured bacterium. RNAcentral describes it as "bacterial SSU rRNA". The stretch from base 1 to 520 matches the Rfam family "Bacterial small subunit ribosomal RNA", at positions 338 to 873 of the family's 1533-position model. The record is from RNAcentral.